GGAAUAUUGCACAAUUGGGGAAACCCUGAUGCAGCAACGCCGCGUGAAGGAAGACGGUUUCCGGAUUGUAAACUUCUUUUCUUAGUGAAGAAGAAAGUGACGGUAGCUAAGGAAUAAGCAUCGGCUAACUACGUGCCAGCAGCCGCGGUAAUACGUAGGAUGCGAGCGUUAUCCGGAAUUACUGGGUGUAAAGGGAGCGCAGGCGGGACUGCAAGUUGGAUGUGAAAGGCCGCGGCUUAACUGCGGGGCUGCAUCCAAUACUGUAGUUCUUGAGUGGAGUAGAGGCAAGCGGAAUUCCGAGUGUAGCGGUGAAAUGCGUAAAUAUUCGGAGGAACACCAGUGGCGAAGGCGGCUUGCUGGGCUCUAACUGACGCUGAGGCUCGAAAGUGUGGGGAGCAAAC
Molecule: ribosomal RNA, 401 nt
Filed under: uncultured bacterium
Lineage: Bacteria
Description: bacterial SSU rRNA
Rfam family: Bacterial small subunit ribosomal RNA
Source: RNAcentral